This 647-nucleotide ribosomal RNA is filed under the name uncultured marine eukaryote. Its description in RNAcentral is "SSU rRNA". It matches the Rfam family "Eukaryotic small subunit ribosomal RNA", at positions 613 to 1263 of the family's 1831-position model. The record is from RNAcentral.
UUGCGGUUAAAAAGCUCGUAGUUGGAUUUCUGUUGAGGAUGACCGGUCCGCUCUUUGAGCGCGUAUCUGGUUCAGCCUUGGCAUCCUCUUGGGGAACGCUACUGUGCUUGAUUGCAUGGGGCGGUAUUCAAGACUUUUACUUUGAGGAAAUUAGAGUGUUCACUGCAAGCGUUAGCAAUUGAAUACAUUAGCAUGGAAUAAUAAUAUAGGACCUUGGUACUAUUUUGUUGGUUUCUAGAACUAAGGUAAUGAUUAAUAGGGACAAUUGGGGGCAUUCGUAUUAACGCGUCAGAGGUGGAAUUCUUAGAUUGCGUUACGACGAACUACUGCGAAAGCAUUUGCCAAGGAUGUUUUCAUUGAUCAAGAACGAAAGUAUGGGGAUCGAAGACGCUUAGAUACCGUCGUAGUCUAUACCAUAAACUAUGCCAACUAGAGAUUGGAGGUCGUUCUCUUUAUGACUCCUUCAGCACCUUAUGAGAAAUCAAAGUCUUUGGGUUCCGGGGGGAGUAUGGUCGCAAGGCUGAAACUUAAAGGAAUUGACGGAAGGGCACCACCAGGAGUGGAGCCUGCGGCUUAAUUUGACUCAACACGGGAAAACUUACCAGGUCCAGACAUAGCCAGGAUUGACAGACUGAUAGCUCUUUCUC